GAUGAACGCUGGCGGCGUGCCUAAUACCUGCAAGUCGAGCGAACAGACGAGGAGCUUGCUCUUCUGACGUUAGCGGCGGACGGGUGAGUAACACGUGGAUAACCUACCUAUAAGACUGGGAUAACUUCGGGAAACCGGAGCUAAUACCGGAUAAUAUAUUGAACCGCAUGGUUCCAUAGUGAACGACGGUUUUGCUGUCACUUAUAGAUGGAUCCGCGCCGCAUUAGCUAGUUGGUAAGGUAACGGCUUACCAAGGCGACGAUGCGUAGCCGACCUGAGAGGGUGAUCGGCCACACUGGAACUGAGACACGGUCCAGACUCCUACGGGAGGCAGCAGUAGGGAAUCUUCCGCAAUGGGCGAAAGCCUGACGGAGCAACGCCGCGUGAGUGAUGAAGGUCUUCGGAUCGUAAAACUCUGUUAUUAGGGAAGAACAAAUGUGUAAGUAACUAUGCACGUCUUGACGGUACCUAAUCAGAAAGCCACGGCUAACUACGUG
Molecule: ribosomal RNA, 497 nt
Filed under: uncultured bacterium
Lineage: Bacteria
Description: partial 16S ribosomal RNA
Rfam family: Bacterial small subunit ribosomal RNA
Source: RNAcentral